This 77-nucleotide transfer RNA is filed under the name compost metagenome. Its description in RNAcentral is "tRNA-Pro". It matches the Rfam family "tRNA". Rfam says of the family: Transfer RNA (tRNA) molecules are approximately 80 nucleotides in length. Their secondary structure includes four short double-helical elements and three loops (D, anti-codon, and T loops). The record is from RNAcentral.
CGGGGCAUAGCGCAGUCUGGUAGCGCAUCUGCUUUGGGAGCAGAGGGUCGCAGGUUCGAAUCCUGCCGCUCCGACCA